CUGCAGAAACAGAUAAACAACAGAACUCGUGGAAUUCUGUCAGAUCAAACCCUAAUUCUAGGUGUUGUUUGUAUAUUCGUCCUUUCUCUUGUUUAUUUGAUAAUUGAAAUUAAUACUUAAGAACCGUCAAUAGUUAGUGACAAGAAUACCCAAAAGAAUAUUUUUGCAAUUAUCCUUAUAUGCUCAAUACACAAGGUAAUGUUGCAAAUAAUUAAAAGCUCAUGUUACGAUCUGAUGAGUGCUUAUUUUAGGACACUAAGCUUGUCCUUGGGAAACCAUCAAUUUAUGUUGGCGAAGUGGUUUCCCCUCCAACACUGACCUAUAUCAAGAUCAACUCAACGAGAUCUACAAUAUUUAUUAUAGACAUAUGCAUCGACAACUGCCCUUUUAAAGUUUUUCUAAAUAGAAAGGAAGAGGGGGUUGGAAAUCUCAAAUGUGGUGAUGUUGGAGAGACCAAUAGAUUGGGAAGAUGUAGCAUAUGAGCAUGGAGUAAACGAAGUGGCUAUGAAAUAAAUUCCAUGCUCAUUAAUGUUACCUUCGUCUCUAAUCUGAAUGUUCGGAGAUUCUCCUGGAUUGGUCUCGCCUAUGUCCUCUUCUGUAGUUGGAUGAAUCUCAUCUUCAAAGGGAGUCAACAACUCACCAUUUGAAAUUGAGCCAAAGUCAGAAUCCAUUAAGGCCUCUUCCUUGUCC
Molecule: long non-coding RNA, 690 nt
Filed under: Sorghum bicolor (sorghum)
Lineage: Eukaryota; Viridiplantae; Streptophyta; Magnoliopsida; Poales; Poaceae
Description: long non-coding RNA (SBIC_LNC002815)
Source: RNAcentral